RNAcentral lists this long non-coding RNA (701 nucleotides) under Vigna radiata. Its description in RNAcentral is "long non-coding RNA (VRAD_LNC017920)". Lineage: Eukaryota; Viridiplantae; Streptophyta; Magnoliopsida; Fabales; Fabaceae. The record is from RNAcentral.
AGGUGAUGACAGAAAAAGCUUCAGAGAAAAUCAUCAAUAGUAACCUAUUAACCUGGUAGUCAUUUUUUUCAGCUUUUCUUUAAGAAAUCAACAAGAUUUCAUUGAGGUUAAGAAAGGUCGACUACAACAACCACACAGUUUAUUGGACCAAGUCCACUAUAAAACUCAGAUCUGAGAGUCAGAUUUUUAAAACAAACAUUAAGGCCAUGCUUUAAAUGCUUUCAAUAUUUUUCAAUUAAGAAGAAAACCCAAAAUAAGUCAAACCACCAUCAAAUCUUGUUUUCAGUAGAUAUUUACACCAAAACAAUAUAAAGCUACAGUUUAACAUUAUCAUUUCAUUUAAAGACCUUUAAGAUGGAGCAUAUAUUUGCACCAGGAACGUUGAAACUCUACAAUCAUUUUAUAUCACUCUUUCCUAUAUGCUUGUCCUACUUUUGGAGAACCAUAAUGAUUUUUAGACGUGAUUGAGUGAAAACAUAAAGAGUGAGGAGUGAUCAUCGAAAUGAGAGAGGAGAAAAAGGAAAGGUAAAGUUUGAAGGAAAAACUAUACUCCUUGAAAGGGGAAAGAAAGUAAAUAAGCAUACAUGACUAAAAGAGAGAGAAGGAAAAAAGCUGUCCUCGUCUACACAAGAACAGGUCUCCACAUGGCAUGAUUUUGUACAGUCACGUCAACUUAAAAACUACCUCACCAUCUUAUAAUC